This 86-nucleotide ribosomal RNA is filed under the name Aeromonas jandaei. Its description in RNAcentral is "partial 16S ribosomal RNA". It matches the Rfam family "Bacterial small subunit ribosomal RNA", at positions 1 to 84 of the family's 1533-position model. RNAcentral also lists the same sequence under 1 other name. Lineage: Bacteria; Pseudomonadati; Pseudomonadota; Gammaproteobacteria; Aeromonadales; Aeromonadaceae. The record is from RNAcentral.
UUAAAUUGAAGAGUUUGAUCAUGGCUCAGAUUGAACGCUGGCGGCAGGCCUAACACAUGCAAGUCGAGCGGCAGCGGGAAAGUAGC